GUCCACGCUGUAAACGAUGAGUGCUAGACGUUGGGGACCUAGUUUCCCAGUGUCGCAGCUAACGCAUUAAGCACUCCGCCUGGGGAGUACGGCCGCAAGGUUAAAACUCAAAGGAAUUGACGGGGCCCGCACAAGCGGUGGAGCAUGUGGUUCAAUUCGAAGCAACGCGAAGAACCUUACCAGCCCUUGACAUGGGUGACGGGAUUCAGAGAUGAAUCCCUUCUCGCAAGAGACCACUACACAGGUGCUGCAUGGCUGUCGU
This 262-nucleotide ribosomal RNA is filed under the name uncultured bacterium. RNAcentral's name for it is "partial 16S ribosomal RNA". It matches the Rfam family "Bacterial small subunit ribosomal RNA", at positions 793 to 1055 of the family's 1533-position model. The record is from RNAcentral.